UUCGAACUUCCGAACACGGCAUACACAAAAGGCGGCACAAAACUUGAAUCUGAAUUUCCAUAAAGUUUUUAACAAAAAAUGGUAUUAUUAGUUUUGUUUUUUUUAACAUCAAU
RNAcentral lists this small RNA (113 nucleotides) under Arabidopsis thaliana (thale cress). RNAcentral's name for it is "ATSL252540". Lineage: Eukaryota; Viridiplantae; Streptophyta; Magnoliopsida; Brassicales; Brassicaceae. The record is from RNAcentral.